UACGAAGGGGGCUAGCGUUGCUCGGAAUUACUGGGCGUAAAGCGCACGUAGGCGGCUUUCUAAGUCGGGGGCGAAAUCCUGGAGCUCAACUCCAGAACUGCCUUCGAUACUGGAAAGCUCGAGUCCGGGAGAGGUGAGUGGAACUGCGAGUGUAGAGGUGAAAUUCGUAGAUAUUCGCAAGAACACCAGUGGCGAAGGCGGCUCACUGGCCCGGUACUGACGCUGAGGUGCGAAAGCGUGGGGAGCAAACAGG
RNAcentral lists this ribosomal RNA (253 nucleotides) under uncultured bacterium. RNAcentral's name for it is "partial 16S ribosomal RNA". It matches the Rfam family "Bacterial small subunit ribosomal RNA", at positions 524 to 776 of the family's 1533-position model. The record is from RNAcentral.